Long non-coding RNA from Syngnathoides biaculeatus (alligator pipefish), 2120 nucleotides. RefSeq lists it as uncharacterized. The transcript is spliced from 2 exons. The record is from RefSeq and is a predicted model, not a curated record. Lineage: Eukaryota; Metazoa; Chordata; Actinopteri; Syngnathiformes; Syngnathidae.
UGUUGUCUGAGAAAAUGGCGGGAGCAAAAACGGGCUUUGGUCUAUGCGGAUCUCUGGCCUCUGAUUGGUCAGUGACGCGGAUUGCGCAAUAUCCACAGAGGGGUCAAUUAGCAGGCAAGGAGGAUCACAAAGAAAAAGAAAGAAAGCGAGCCUGAUGAGGAGAGAGCUGAUGGGCAAAAGAGCGAGAGGAAGACCAACAGGAAGGUGGACGGAGGAAGUGAGGAGGCUCCCGUGGAAAAUGAUGACAAGCCCGAGGGAAAACAAGAAGACGACCGCGGGCCGCUGAGAAGUGGCCAGCAGGACAAAAUUGUCCCCCGGGCCACAGUUUGGGCACCACUGACGUCCCAUGUCUGAAUGUGAUUUGUCAUCCGCAUUUUGGGGAGGACGGCGCAGCAAUCGCGUACCCGUCCAAUACUGCGAUAUUCUCGGACAUCCCUCGGGUUGCUUAUUCAAGUUGAUGUUUAUCAAGUAAAGAAAUGAAUGGCAGCGAUGACGGACGGGGUCACGAGGUCGUCCGUCGAAAACUCGCUGCGCUGGGAAGCGAAUUGUGUUCAAUGGUAAACAAGAAAAAAAAAAAAAAAAAUACAAGUCACGGCCCAAGAGUAGCGUCGACACGGACCGCCGUUACCUUAGUUCCAUUCAUUUUUUUAAACGACACUAUCACAUUUGGAACUGAAACUCGGUAGUCGAUCGGAGAAAGGAGACCAAACCCGCAAAAGUCCACCCGAGACUGUCAUGACAGCCACCGUAAAGUGCAAAGGUCAUCUCGAAUCCAAAACCCUUCUUCAUGUUGAAAUGAUCGCAAAGAAAUAAAUCAAUUCUCCGUCUAAGUUUCAAAAUUGUGGAACGGCCAUUUUGGGCAAAUCAUCAACAUCCGUCCCAUGACGCAAAAACUAUCUCAGGGAAGUCCCACCAGCUGUCCAAAAGGGACUUUUGCAGGAACCACCGAGGUCCCCAAGGCAAACGUCGAUUGAUGAGCGAGUCCAGAUUUGGAAGAAUUCACUCAUUCCUAUCUCACGAAUGAGCCACAGCAGGACAGGUCCAACGUCCCAAAAUGACGACCGCUAAAACUCGGACAUUUGCUCCAGCAGUGUUUCUAUGGCAACGUGAACGCAAACAGCACUGGACAGGAAAUCAGGCGGAUUCAUAUCUGCGUCCUCGUGUUGUUCUUCGAGCGCCGGGACGUGCCGGCGCAAUGGCGAGGGGGAGCAAGACGGAGAGGGAGCGGGAGCGGGAGAGUGGGCCGCGGGGGGCCGCCUGACCUUGGCCCGACUCCGGGACGCAUCUGGCGGACAAAAGCGGGGCAUCGUUCCCGCCGCACGGUUCCGGUUUGACGGAGCUUUGUUCGCUGCGCGGUUAGCGUCGUCAUCGCACUGCUUCAAACGAGCCUGCCUGCCUGCCUGCUUCCCGGGUUCGGUUCCGUCCCCGCAUCGUGACGGCCAGCCGCGCCUCCCUUCCUCCGAAAAAGCCCACCGUUGAACGACACGUUUGACUUUGACCAAAACGCCAUUUUGGCCAGAAACGACGAGUAGCCCGCUAACGUCGGCUAGCUAGCGAGCGCCCGCCCGGCCGGCCGGCCGCUCGCGGCAAACGAACCGCGGCACGAGCGAACCGCGACCAACGCGCGCGAGACGCCCGCCCGCUGUUGUCCGCAAUCUUUGGGCUGACGGCGGUGCAGCCGCGGCCGACCGACCGACCGACCGGCCUGCCUUGCGGCCGCAUCAGCCCCGUCCGCUAGCCGCCGAGCUAGCUAGCCCGCAGCUACACAAAGAUGUCGAGAGGGGGGAAAGGAGCCGCAGCUUCGGGAGCCGCUCCGAGCGUCAAACUUACCCGUCCGCCGGCUUCCGCGUCCCGCUAUGCGAGAAGCACUUCCGCCGCGCAGGCGCGGCGCGGCGCCGCGUCCGGCCGAGAAGCACCACGAACCGGCGACGCCGAGUUGACGUCUGUGACCCGCUCGUGCGACCUGCCCAGAAGCGUUUUCAUGCGGACGAAAGACGCGAGCGCCAUGUUGGCUCGCUGAGCCCCCGACACCGUUGCUUUGCUUGGACUCAUUCUUGUUUCUUGUUAUUGUUGUGAUCCCUCUUUCAACAACAAAUACAUAAAAUAAACAAGAACGUGUA